Molecule: non-coding RNA, 139 nt
Organism: Halanaerobium saccharolyticum subsp. saccharolyticum DSM 6643
Lineage: Bacteria; Bacillati; Bacillota; Clostridia; Halanaerobiales; Halanaerobiaceae
Source: Rfam
UAUCCUUUUAAAUCAGUCCAGAGAGGCUGGCAAAGGUAUAAAUUUAGUUGAGUUCUAAAGAUAAUAUUUUUAGAAUCUGAGCUAAUUAUGUCAACUUUAACCUUCAAACCAUUCUUUCUGGUGAGAAGGUUUUAUUUUU